RNAcentral lists this ribosomal RNA (471 nucleotides) under uncultured bacterium. Its description in RNAcentral is "bacterial SSU rRNA". It matches the Rfam family "Bacterial small subunit ribosomal RNA", at positions 30 to 490 of the family's 1533-position model. The record is from RNAcentral.
AUUGAACGCUGGCGGCAUGCCUUACACAUGCAAGUCGAACGGUAACGGGCCUUCGGGUGCCGACGAGUGGCGAACGGGUGAGUAAUGCAUCGGAACGUACCUUUCAGUGGGGGAUAACGUAGCGAAAGUUACGCUAAUACCGCAUAUUCUGUGAGCAGGAAAGCAGGGGAUCGCAAGACCUUGCGCUGAUUGAGCGGCCGAUGUCAGAUUAGCUAGUUGGUGAGGUAAAGGCUCACCAAGGCGACGAUCUGUAGCGGGUCUGAGAGGAUGAUCCGCCACACUGGAACUGAGACACGGUCCAGACUCCUACGGGAGGCAGCAGUGGGGAAUUUUGGACAAUGGGGGCAACCCUGAUCCAGCUAUGCCGCGUGAGUGAAGAAGGCCUCGGUUGUAAGGUACUCUUUCGGUCCGGGAACGGAAAUACGCAUGGUUAAGUACCUACGUGCGGAGUGACGGUACCGGAAGAAGAAG